RNAcentral lists this ribosomal RNA (768 nucleotides) under uncultured fungus. RNAcentral describes it as "eukaryotic LSU rRNA". The stretch from base 1 to 241 matches the Rfam family "Eukaryotic small subunit ribosomal RNA", at positions 1593 to 1831 of the family's 1831-position model. Lineage: Eukaryota; Fungi. The record is from RNAcentral.
UUGCUCUUCAACGAGGAAUGCCUAGUAAGCGCAUGUCAUCAGCAUGCGUUGAUUACGUCCCUGCCCUUUGUACACACCGCCCGUCGCUACUACCGAUUGAAUGGCUCGGUGAGGCCUUCGGACUGGCCCAGGGAGGUCGGCAACGACCACCCAGGGCCGGAAAGUUGGUCAAACCCGGUCAUUUAGAGGAAGUAAAAGUCGUAACAAGGUCUCCGUAGGUGAACCUGCGGAGGGAUCAUUACAAGUGACCCCGGUCUAACCACCGGGAUGUUCAUAACCCUUUGUUGUCCGACUCUGUUGCCUCCGGGGCGACCCUGCCUUCGGGCGGGGGCUCCGGGUGGACACUUCAAACUCUUGCGUAACUUUGCAGUCUGAGUAAACUUAAUUAAUAAAUUAAAACUUUUAACAACGGAUCUCUUGGUUCUGGCAUCGAUGAAGAACGCAGCGAAAUGCGAUAAGUAGUGUGAAUUGCAGAAUUCAGUGAAUCAUCGAAUCUUUGAACGCACAUUGCGCCCCUUGGUAUUCCAUGGGGCAUGCCUGUUCGAGCGUCAUUUGUACCUUCAAGCUCUGCUUGGUGUUGGGUGUUUGUCUCGCCUCUACGUGUAGACUCGCCUCAAAACAAUUGGCAGCCGGCGUAUUGAUUUCGGAGCGCAGUACAUCUCGCGCUUUGCACUCAUAACGACGACGUCCAAAAGUACAUUUUUACACUCUUGACCUCGGAUCAGGUAGGGAUACCCGCUGAACUUAAGCAUAUCAAUAAGCGGAGGA